This 300-nucleotide ribosomal RNA is filed under the name uncultured Acidimicrobiales bacterium. Its description in RNAcentral is "bacterial SSU rRNA". It matches the Rfam family "Bacterial small subunit ribosomal RNA", at positions 113 to 413 of the family's 1533-position model. The record is from RNAcentral. Lineage: Bacteria; Bacillati; Actinomycetota; Acidimicrobiia; Acidimicrobiales.
ACGCGUGAGCAAUCUACCUUAGUUACAGGGAUAGCCCGAGGAAACUCGGAUUAAUACCUGAUAUUCUUUACAUUUCGCAUGAAAUCAAAAGGAAAGGUCAGCCGAACUAAGAUGAGCUCGCGUUCUAUCAGCUAGUUGGUGAGGUAAAAGCUCACCAAGGCAACGACGGAUAGCUGGUCUGAGAGGACGAUCAGCCACACUGGGACUGAGACACGGCCCAGACUCCUACGGGAGGCUGCAGCAGGGAAUAUUGCGCAAUGAGCGAAAGCUUGACGCAGCGACACCGCGUGUGGGAUGACG